This is a long non-coding RNA of Heterocephalus glaber (naked mole-rat), 446 nucleotides long. Lineage: Eukaryota; Metazoa; Chordata; Mammalia; Rodentia; Bathyergidae. The record is from Ensembl.
UGCAGCAUAAUACUUACAUCAGUCAGAAAUGGAUUAGGCACAAGCAACAGGAAGCCCUAACUUAUACAGAUACAGUGUGAGAGAGAACAAGGACACCCUGGACCUUCGGAGGACAAAGUAGACUCUGAAUCAAUCCUCAGCUGUCUGCAACUUCAGUGAUGCUGAUGACCUAGAAAAGAUGGUACCCUUCAUCAUGGAGCUAACAUGUAUCUUGGCUAAGAUUGGAAAGGCUGAAGGAGGAGAUUCCAGGAGCUACCAAUGGCAAGCUACUCUCCCCUACCACCAAGUUGAGCCAGCAGGUCUGUGAAAGGGAUUGAACUCAGAACCUUGCACUUGCAAGGCAGGCGGUGGCACCACUGAGCUAAAUACUGGCCCAACAGCAGGACUUUCAAAAUGGCUUUCGAGGAAUUGCUUUCUUUUCCUGGAAGAAGAGAAGAGAAGAAUGC